This 253-nucleotide ribosomal RNA is filed under the name uncultured bacterium. RNAcentral's name for it is "partial 16S ribosomal RNA". It matches the Rfam family "Bacterial small subunit ribosomal RNA", at positions 524 to 776 of the family's 1533-position model. The record is from RNAcentral.
UACAGAGGGUGCGAGCGUUAAUCGGAAUUACUGGGCGUAAAGCGUGCGUAGACGGUUAUUUAAGUCGGAUGUGAAAGCCCCGGGCUCAACCUGGGAAUUGCAUUCGAGACUGAAUAGCUAGGGUGCGGUAGAGGGAAGCGGAAUUUCCGGUGUAGCGGUGAAAUGCGUAGAUAUCGGAAGGAACAUCAGUGGCGAAAGCGGCUUCCUGGACCAGCACCGACGUUCAGGCACGAAAGCAUGGGGAGCAAACAGG